This is a long non-coding RNA of Hemiscyllium ocellatum (epaulette shark), 1951 nucleotides long. RefSeq lists it as uncharacterized. NCBI's taxonomy places the organism in Eukaryota, Metazoa, Chordata, Chondrichthyes, Orectolobiformes, Hemiscylliidae. The record is from RefSeq and is a predicted model, not a curated record. The transcript has 3 exons.
UCAUGCCCGAUCGCAUUGAAAACUUUAUUUAUUUAUUUUUUUUCCCCCGAAAGGCGCGUCUUUGUCGCUGCCGCCGCUUCGGCCCCCUUCGGCGGAAAUGAACGGAAAUUAACGACCGGAAUUUUUUUUAACGGUACAUCUCCUCAGGUGUGCGGUUACAACGGGCGGGAUGGAUUUUUGUGCGGGUGGGUGCUGUCGAUUGCUGGGACCGGUCCCAGCGUGAUAAGCAGUCGUUUUAAUUUUGCUUUUCUCUGUGUUUUCGGUUUGGGAAGCGGGUGUGUUCCGGAGAUUGCCGAAUGGAUCUCUUUCUGCUUCCCCUCCCCCGCCAUCCCCGCGGCCGAGCUGUGCCCCAUGGAUGCUCAUCAACUACAUUCAUUCAUCCUCUGCAGUGCCUCAUGGAGUCUAUUUUUAAUGACUGUGAUAUUCAUUGUAAAAGAAAAAUCGAUAUGUCCUGUCAAGCUUCUCCUCGGCAGAGUAAGAAAGCUGAAAUAUGUGCCAGGACAAAAUGAACAAAAUCGAUCACUAUAGCAUCCCUGCCCCUUUGAGGGCAGGAGGUUAACAGCGCGGCACAAUACUUUCUGUUACUUGUUUCCCUUAAGACAUUUUAAUGCAUUAUCAAUAUACUGUACUGUUCUAAAGUUAUAUAUUAUUUUUCUUCACAGCAUUAUACAUGGCUAUAUAAUCAGGGAAAAAUCAUUAUACAUAGCAUAUGACAAUGUCUUCACAUUUUGCUUUUAUUUGUAUGGUAAGUUUAUAAGAUUGUCUUCUAAAAUAACUAACAAUGACAAUGAGUUAAUCGCAAUGUUAUUCCUUUGAUCGUUACCUGGCAGCUUAUCCUAAGUAACUACACACUUAUUUAUAAAGUUGAUGGAUACUGACAAAUGAGUCAAAUGUAAAGUGGAGCAGAUUUUGCUAUCUGAAGCUGAAAUUGCUAAGCUACAUGGAGAAAACUAAAUUUAUUUUCAAUACCAACAAUUACUGGAAAUAGUAGAUGCCAUUUUAUAAUGGGCCAGAGUGAAAGCCUUCUAACUGUGUGGUAGGAGCAUUUAAAAUGAAGCGGUAUUUCCUCCAUCCCCAAUUUGUUGUAAUUUUAAAAUGGCUAAAUGUUCACUCAGGUGAGAUGGGAACCCCACACACCCGUGCAAAUUAUAGUCCUCCUAUGUCAACACAACAUUAAGGCCAUUUAGUAGCAAGUCAAUGGUAGUGGUCAUCUAGCAGUAUGAACCUGAUACAACACUGGACAGUCCUGUAUGGUAUGUUUGAGAUUUCCCUCUGUGGGUCUACAGAGUGAUCCUUUGUGGCCCACAUGAAAAAUAUAAACUUUCUUUCCCCAGAUUCCUUCUCCUCACUAAUUUAUCAUCACUCUUGAAUUCUCCUUACAAUUGUGGACUAUCCUAGAAUUCCAUUUCCCAUCUCUGAUCCUGUCUUUCCUAAGGCCAGGCCGGCAUGCUUCUGGCAGCCCGACUUCUGCUACUUUCUUGGUUGGUGGGGCUUUGCAUAGUUGCGUUCUAAUGAGAUCAUGGUGUUAAGCUUGGCUAUGUCUUUCACUGCUGCUCCUGGACAGGCCAGGCACUUAUUUUCCCAACUGAGAGAUGCAAUUUCCACUUUGGGAAUGGCUUAAACAUGGCUUAACCGCGACUACUGUCGAAUGUAUCUGCAUCAUCCAUCUAAUGAAAUUAGUUGAAUUAAUCAAAAAGAUAAUUAGAAAAGAGGCAUAUUUAGGAAUGACUGGAAGGUCACAGGCUUUGAUAUGAUACUGAGGUGGAAGUGACAGGAGUUUUGACACUGACAUUUACCCAAAAAUGUUGAGAAUUUAUUAUUAGUCUCAUAUCAGCAGUAAUAGCAAUUCAAGUCAAUUUCAAAGGACAUGCUCAAAAGAGGAUAAUAUUGAAUGGCAGUUUCUUACUUCUAAUUUGCUUACAUAUUGAUUAAAACAUUGACAUGUUUUACU